This 375-nucleotide long non-coding RNA is filed under the name Heterocephalus glaber (naked mole-rat). RNAcentral's name for it is "lncRNA (ENSHGLG00000042959.1)". The record is from RNAcentral. Lineage: Eukaryota; Metazoa; Chordata; Mammalia; Rodentia; Bathyergidae.
GCAGCCUCCAAGCCCCCAGGAAUCCCCACACUGAGUGUUCUCAGCUGUGAACAGCAAGAACCGACUCCAUGGUUGGAUUUCAAGGAGGUUGGGGAGCUCGGAUACCACUCCUAAGACCCCAGCUUGCAGCAAGACUGCAUGGCCUGAGUCCCACUAUGGGGGCUGCUGGCCCAGACACCUCUGGGAGCUGGGCAUGGUGGCUCCUGUCCUGGCCAAUGGACCCUCUGGCAGAGCAUCACAGUGGGAGCAUGUGCAGAGCAGAGCCACUCACACAUGAGCCAGGAAGCUGAGGCCUCGGGCAUCAUGGUGCGUGCUGGUAAUCUCAGCACUCUGGGAGGCUGAGGCAGGAGGAUCACAAGUUCAAGCCCAGCCAGG